This 307-nucleotide unclassified non-coding RNA is filed under the name plant metagenome. RNAcentral describes it as "partial contains 5.8S ribosomal RNA, internal transcribed spacer 2, and large subunit ribosomal RNA". The stretch from base 1 to 105 matches the Rfam family "5.8S ribosomal RNA", at positions 50 to 154 of the family's 154-position model. The record is from RNAcentral.
GAAAUGCGAUAAGUAGUGUGAAUUGCAGAAUUCAGUGAAUCAUCGAAUCUUUGAACGCACAUUGCGCCCUUUGGUAUUCCAAAGGGCAUGCCUGUUCGAGCGUCAUUUGUACCCUCAAGCUUUGCUUGGUGUUGGGCGUCUUGUCUCUAGCUUUGCUGGAGACUCGCCUUAAAGUAAUUGGCAGCCGGCCUACUGGUUUCGGAGCGCAGCACAAGUCGCACUCUCUAUCAGCAAAGGUCUAGCAUCCAUUAAGCCUUUUUUCAACUUUUGACCUCGGAUCAGGUAGUGAUACCCGCUGAACUUAAGC